ACACUGUUGAAGAGUCCAAUACUAGGAUGAAACGACCGUCCAGUGU
Non-coding RNA from Schistosoma haematobium, 46 nucleotides. The record is from Rfam. NCBI's taxonomy places the organism in Eukaryota, Metazoa, Platyhelminthes, Trematoda, Strigeidida, Schistosomatidae.